UUUAUGGAGAGUUUGAUCCUGGCUCAGGAUGAACGCUGGCGGCGUGCCUAAUACAUGCAAGUCGAGCGAACAGACGAGGAGCUUGCUUCUCUGACGUUAGCGGCGGACGGGUGAGUAACACGUGGAUAACCUACCUAUAAGACUGGGAUAACUUCGGGAAACCGGAGCUAAUACCGGAUAAUAUAUUGAACCGCAUGGUUCAAUAGUGAAAGACG
RNAcentral lists this ribosomal RNA (215 nucleotides) under Staphylococcus epidermidis. RNAcentral describes it as "partial 16S ribosomal RNA". It matches the Rfam family "Bacterial small subunit ribosomal RNA", at positions 1 to 209 of the family's 1533-position model. The record is from RNAcentral. Lineage: Bacteria; Bacillati; Bacillota; Bacilli; Caryophanales; Staphylococcaceae.